AAGGUGCAGUUUUGCUCCUCAUGUUUAUAGCCAGAGGCACAUAUCCCCCUCAACUAUUUAAUCUUACCUUCCUUCCUUUUAUGUAAAAAGAAAAAAAGUUCCCGCCAAUUAGCCAAAUCUAAAUUCCUAAUUAAUAUCUCCCUAUCUUCCUAAUGCAUUGAUAUGACAAUACCGCAAGAUUAGGGUAACUGGUCCAGUUCACAACAGCUCGUGAAAGACAAAGGAAUGGGAAUACAAGGACUUUUGCCUCUUUUGAAAUCGAUAAUGGUACCCAUUCACAUUAAGGAGUUACAGGGCUGCUGUGUUGCUGUUGAUACUUACUCUUGGCUCCACAAAGGCGCCUUGUCUUGCAGUACUCAGCUCUGUAAAGGAUUACCCACCUCUAGGCACAUUCAGUAUUGCAUGCAUAGAGUAAAUUUGCUGCGGCAUUAUGGUGUUAAACCCAUUCUUGUCUUUGAUGGUGGUCUUCUGCCGAUGAAGAGUGAACAAGAGAACAAGCGUGCAAGAUCAAGGAAAGAGAAUCUUUCACGUGCUAUAGAGCACGAGGCAAAUGGAAAUUCAGCUGCUGCUUAUGAAUGCUAUCAGAAGGCUGUUGAUAUUUCACCUUCAAUUGCUCAUGAAUUAAUCCAGGCCUUGAAGCAGGAAAAUGUUUCUUAUGUUGUGGCCCCUUAUGAGGCUGAUGCCCAAAUGACCUUCUUGGCAAUAAGCAAACAAGUUGAUGCAGUUAUUACUGAGGACUCUGAUCUAAUACCAUUUGGCUGCCCCAGAAUUGUAUUCAAAAUGGACAAAUAUGGGCAAGGUAUUGAGUUUCAGUACUCCAGGCUUCAGCUGAACAAGGAGCUAAGUUUUUCUGGAUUCACCCAUGAGAUGAUUCUUCAGAUGUGCAUUUUGAGUGGCUGUGACUAUCUGCAGUCACUACCAGGAAUGGGACUCAAAAGGGCUCAUGCACUAAUUACAAAGUUCAAAAGUUAUGAUAAGGUAAUCAAACACCUGAAAUAUAGCACAAUUUCUGUUCCCCCCCUUUAUGAAGAGUCCUUUAGGAAAGCAAUAUUGACCUUCCAGCAUCAAAGGGUUUAUGAUCCUAUCGCUGAAGAUAUCAUACAUUUGUCUGAUUUAGCUGACAAUCUUGGUGACAAUUUGGACUUUUUGGGCCCAUUAAUACCGCAGCAUAUAGCUAAGGGUAUAGCAGAAGGUGAUCUUGAUCCAUUUACCCAAAUGCCGUUCAAGGGAGAAAGUGUUGGUUGCGAAGUGGUGCUUGACAGAACUACUGAUUUAAAAAAAGUUCGACCUGAAACUGGAAAGAAAAAGCUAGAUUUGCCUGUACAAAAGAAUCUUCUAACCAAGUACUUCUGCUUUGCAUCUCUGGAAGCAAAGAGGAACUUCAGGGCGCCUCGAACUUCACCAAUAAAUCCAAGUCCAGUAGACAAAUCUUCUCUCAGUCCCAAUGUGAAUUGCAAUCUGGAGGUUGCGUCAAGUAACAUGGACUGCUCUGCAGCAACCCCACUUGACUAUGGAAAUAUGAAAAGCACCAUGCCCGAUGAUACCGUGGAAAGUGGUUUUGCUGCUGAAGAUCUUGAACUUUCAGCAUCUCCAACUCCUGGCAUGAUUGGUGAGGAGAGAAGUUCAGUACAUAAUUUGCUCCAAGAACUCGGGGAUUCAACUCAUAAGCCUUUUCAAGCAUUAUUAAAGGAAUGCGAUAGUAAGAGUGUUACAACAAGAAGUGUACUUCAAGAUGAAAGAAAAGCAGAGAACAAAAAGGUCAUUGUACAAAGUUCUUACUUUGAGCCCACACCAAUAAACAAAUUUGAUGAAGACAAUGAAAAGGAGAAGCUCUUAGUCAAGAAUGCUCCCACUGAUCCUUGCGACGGUAGCAUUCUUAAGAGUGCUUACAAGAUAAGAACAGCAGAUAACAAGAUCACCAUUAGGAGCUCUUAUUUUCAGCACAAUUCAGUGAACAAGAAUGAUAAAAAGAAUGAACACGAGAGGCUCUUAGUUGAGAGUGAUGCAGCAAUGGGUAGUGAUAUGAAUGAGGAUGUCAUUCUUGAUAUUGCUUCUUCUGAAAAUAACAGCAUUGGCAUGAAAAGGAAGACCUCCCAGAAUGGCACUGUCCAAAGAGAGAAUAUGAAUAUGAGAACCAAGCACAUGAGGACAGAUGCAUCACUUUCGGAGAAUGGUUGCCAUGCUCCUAAUCUUGAUGAUACAUUUGCGGGGACAAUGACUGAAGGAGGAAAGUUUGGAUCUAACAUUUCACAUUUAAGCCAUUAUUCUGACAUAGCAGAGAAAUCAAUGGAGAGAUUUGUUUCAGUCAUAUCAUCAUUUAAAUUCUCUUCAUCUGGUUCUCGUGCUAGUGGUCUUCGUGCCCCUCUGAGAGAUAUUCAAAACACGAGUACCAGUAGGUCAAAGGUUGACGUGGAUUUCAGCCGUUUUGCUUAUACACCAAAGGACAAGAAGACUGGUGUAGCAUUACGGAGAUGCUGAAUUUGGAAAAUAUGGAACUGAAAAUGCAUAAAUGUAUAAUGGCCGAGUCAUGAGUCAUUUCAGUUGCAGGAGCUCUGGAUUCUAUUACUUCUAUAUGGAGAAUGACCCAACUUCACUCAUCAAUUUACCUUUAGUUGCAGUACCACCUGUAGCAACAUGUUCCUCCUGGCAUUACUGUAAGUCGGGAUGCAAAAUUCUGAUUCUUUGUAAUCCGAUUUUCAGUCAUGUGAAACUCUUUUGAUGAUGUAAGAUGUUCCAAUGAAUUCGAUAUCUCUAUUGUUAUUACCUUGUUGCUUUCCAGAGCAUUACGUGUUGUAAGAGGAACUCGAAAAUCUUAAGAAUGAAUCCUGAGAGGAUUUUCACUUGGUAAAA
This is an RNA transcript of Ricinus communis (castor bean), 2850 nucleotides long. It is a transcript of the gene named exonuclease 1, with no coding region annotated. The record is from RefSeq and is a predicted model, not a curated record. The transcript is spliced from 15 exons. Lineage: Eukaryota; Viridiplantae; Streptophyta; Magnoliopsida; Malpighiales; Euphorbiaceae.